GAGUGCUUGCUUCAUUCGGACAUACUAAAAUGAACAAUACAAAGAAGAUUGCAUGGCGCCUGUGCAAGAAUGACAUGCAAAUUUAUGAAGUGUCCUGUAUCUUU
This is a small nuclear RNA of Vicugna pacos (alpaca), 104 nucleotides long. The record is from RefSeq and is a predicted model, not a curated record. NCBI's taxonomy places the organism in Eukaryota, Metazoa, Chordata, Mammalia, Artiodactyla, Camelidae.